AUCCCUACAAAAUGGGAACCACUAUUACAAUUCCAAAUAAAACGUUAACCAAUUAAUUAAAAAGUACCAUCGACUUAAGAAAAAAAAAAAGACUAUGAGAAGUUGUACAGUAUAUUUAUGGCUUUAACCUCAACAAACGCUGCUCCCUUCUCUCAAAUUCCUCAUCUUCAUCUUUUUUUCUUUCAGUUUCUUAAACUUUCUUUAUCAAUCUAAAAUAUGUCUAACUGUUUCUUCUUCUGAAGAAUUUCAAAGGAAACUGGAUUUUUCUAAUCAGUGGGAUCUGAUUGAAAAUUUUCAGAGAGUGGAGAGCAUCUAGAAAUGUAGAAGGAGAUGACGUUGAUCCAAAAAUGAAAGAAGCAUAGAAGUAACGAAGAACUGAAGAAAAAAAAGAAGAACUGAAGAAUCUCAAUAUUUUUAACUUUCAUGGCAAAUUUUGUUUAACCAUUUCAAUUAUUUUCUCUUUUAAAUUCAUCUUCGUAUUUCUUUUUACGCAUGUAACUUUUUCUUGUUAAUUAUAUUUUUAAUAGAAAAAUAAAAAUGUUAAUAAAAUAUGUUCUUCAAUU
This is a long non-coding RNA of Raphanus sativus (radish), 563 nucleotides long. RefSeq lists it as uncharacterized. The transcript is spliced from 2 exons. The record is from RefSeq and is a predicted model, not a curated record. NCBI's taxonomy places the organism in Eukaryota, Viridiplantae, Streptophyta, Magnoliopsida, Brassicales, Brassicaceae.